AACAAACGCUGGCGGCGUGCCUAACACAUGCAAGUCGUACGAGAAAGUUCGCUUCGGCGGGUGAGUAAAGUGGCGCACGGGUGAGUAACGCGUGGAUAAUCUGCCCUUCAGUUGGGAAUAACUCAUCGAAAGGUGGGCUAAUACCGAAUAAUGCUGUUCGACGCAAGUUGAGCAGCCAAAGACGGCCUCUGCUUGCAAGCUGUCGCUGCUGGAUGAGUCCGCGUACCAUUAGCUAGUUGGUAGGGUAAUAGCCUACCAAGGCGACGAUGGUUAGCUGGUCUGAGAGGAUGAUCAGCCACACUGGAACUGAGACACGGUCCAGACUCCUACGGGAGGCUG
RNAcentral lists this ribosomal RNA (339 nucleotides) under uncultured Pseudomonadota bacterium. RNAcentral's name for it is "bacterial SSU rRNA". It matches the Rfam family "Bacterial small subunit ribosomal RNA", at positions 29 to 351 of the family's 1533-position model. Lineage: Bacteria; Pseudomonadati; Pseudomonadota. The record is from RNAcentral.